UUUGAAUAUUUGCCUGCACCCCAGACUUUGUUUGUUUGUUUCUUCUGAUAAUCAGUAUAUAAUAACAGUACUCAUUUUAAAGUCUGUUUUGAAAUUUCCCUCCCCACCUUUCUCACCAUGGUACUACAGUGCUGCAGAUGUAGUGUUAUUGGUGCUACAGUGACUCCACAGCAGUUUCUGCAUCAAAGGAAAACAGGGCCCGAAUCAUGGCAGGAGGAAGAGCUGAAACACUAGAAACUCUCUCUGAUGCUGUUCCAGAUGUCAUAAAGACCACAGUAUAAAAAAAAACCCAACAUAAUCCUGCUUUGAAAAUUCACUGUAAAGAAAGGAAAAGACCGACUGCAUCUCUCUUGUAAUGAAAUCUUGCUUUGAGCCACAGGUCUCUGGGUGUCAAAGUAACUACUGAAGGAGCUUUCCUUUCAUGAAGAGAAAAACUUCAUCUCGGUAUGAAUGAUAUGUAUCCCCUAUUGUAUUGGAGGAUGAGAAAUCUGUGACAAAGCCCAUGCCUUUGGUGGUGCCCUGUCUACUAUGGAUCCCAGGAUAAACCCAGCAGGAGACAUGCUUUUGGCACUCUUAGUUGCCUCUGAAAGACACCUUCAGCUCACUUCCAAGCUACUUGCUUUCAAUGGCUUUGAUAAGAAUUCCUGGGAGAAUGAAGGAAGCACUUUCUUUUUGGAUACCACCUGAGGACCUUGCCUAUACCUUCUUACUGCUUUAAGAGUAAAAAUUGAUCCUGUUGCAAAUAUGUAGUUUUCUUCUGAUAAUUAUGAGAAAAUUAUUAUCUCCUUUAUGUCUGGAAAGUCCAACAUACUAGAGAUUAUUAAUACACAUUUGAUAGAAGAACCUUGCAGAACCAGCUUACAGCACUGGUUUGGGCUUUACUACAGUAUCUUACUAUAAAAAAAUCUGUUCUUUAUGUACUUCUGACAAGCCAAUUCAGUGCUGAACAUAAAGAACAUGGAUGAACUUCUCAUUCUACAGAAAUUGCCACUAAUUUAAAUCAAAUGCCAGAAUUUGAUCCUGGAUUAGCCAGCAGUCUUGUUUUUAUGUAUGCUUUUGUUGCAGGGAAUGAAAAUAUGAUUUGAGAGCACUAAUAGCAACUGCCUUAGAUAAAAGCACAAGUGAUUACCUAGAGAAGAGUUGAGCUGCCUACCUGGAAAACGUGUUGUUUAAAGAGUUGUUUUCACACCCACAUUCAUCCAUUUAGCCCAAAGCAUCAGAGUCAUCCAAGCUCUGAGAUCUGGAGCAAUGAUUUCAAGUUUUCACUUUUUUGAGCCAG
This 1279-nucleotide long non-coding RNA is filed under the name Gallus gallus (chicken). RNAcentral's name for it is "lncRNA (ENSGALG00010018879.1)". The record is from RNAcentral. Lineage: Eukaryota; Metazoa; Chordata; Aves; Galliformes; Phasianidae.